RNAcentral lists this ribosomal RNA (468 nucleotides) under uncultured bacterium. Its description in RNAcentral is "partial 16S ribosomal RNA". It matches the Rfam family "Bacterial small subunit ribosomal RNA", at positions 28 to 507 of the family's 1533-position model. The record is from RNAcentral.
GACGAACGCUGGCGGCGUGCUUAACACAUGCAAGUCGAACGGUGAAGCUCCAGCUUGCUGGAGUGGAUCAGUGGCGAACGGGUGAGUAACACGUGAGCAACCUGCCCCUGACUCUGGAAUAAGCGCUGGAAACGGCGUCUAAUACUGGAUACGAGAAGGGUCCGCAUGGGCACUUUCUGGAAAGCUUUUCGGUUGGGGAUGGGCUCGCGGCCUAUCAGCUUGUUGGUGAGGUAAUGGCUCACCAAGGCGACGACGGGUAGCCGGCCUGAGAGGGCGACCGGCCACACUGGGACUGAGACACGGCCCAGACUCCUACGGGAGGCAGCAGUGGGGAAUAUUGCACAAUGGGCGAAAGCCUGAUGCAGCGACGCCGCGUGAGGGAUGACGGCCUUCGGGUUGUAAACCUCUUUCAGCAGGGAAGAAGCGAAAGUGACGGUACCUGCAGAAGAAGCACCGGCUAACUACGUG